Kwoniella shivajii is the source of this 84-nucleotide non-coding RNA. NCBI's taxonomy places the organism in Eukaryota, Fungi, Basidiomycota, Tremellomycetes, Tremellales, Cryptococcaceae. The record is from the annotation of a RefSeq genome assembly.
GGGGGUGUGGUCAAGGGGUAUGACAAGCGAUCCGCAUGAAUUGGGACGCUUCGCUUAGCCGCGGUUCGAGUCCGCGCUCCUCCA